GAGGUGUAAGUGUGGUAACAUAUUUAGCUGACUGAUACUAAUAGGUCGAGGGCUUGACCAA
Molecule: ribosomal RNA, 61 nt
Filed under: Clostridium sp. 29_15
Lineage: Bacteria; Bacillati; Bacillota; Clostridia; Eubacteriales; Clostridiaceae
Description: partial 23S ribosomal RNA
Source: RNAcentral